GGCGAAGCUGCUACAGUGCUAGGUAAGAUUCAUUGUAUAUAUGUACAUGUGGAUUGAUGACAACUUUUCUGUUAAAAUAUCUGUUGUUAUUUGGUGGAAAAUAUUCUUUACAAAAGAAUGCCAUUUUUUAAAACCAUCAUGUUGACUCUGCUUUGUUUCUCAUGCUUAAUCCUUUUCAAAAUUUUGAGUUAGCCAAAAUGCAUAAUUCCAGCAACACUUAGAGAGUGACUGAGUACUGAAUAUAAAUACAACAGAGAUUUGAUCAAAGAUUUUGAAAAUUUUUGAAGCAUUUGUUUUAAAAUAGAUGUAGUUUUUACUCUGUUUAUCCAUGUAAACCUUGUCCUAAAUUCAGAUACUGCUUAAGCCUUUCAGAUAUGCAUACAAUUAGUAUAGUUAAAACUUCAUUUUUUUUAUUUGUUUCAAUUAAUUCAUCCAUUUCCUUUUUCACAAUAAUAAAUUCCAAAUGAGUUAUAUAUGACAAAUGAAUUGAUACUCUUGCUUGAAUCUUGUAGUUGGAGUUAAAAACUUGCUGUGAAUACUUAUCUUGUAAGCUUGUACUAAUCUGCGGGCAUCUUGGUUAGAUGUAUUCUGAUCUGUAAUGAUUGGCUGGCUUGCAAUUCUCUCUCUGUCUCUCUCUGCAAUGUCUAUUUGCAUGUCGUAUACCGCAGGCUCGAGUUUGUCUAAUUCUUUUUGGGCUACUCUAUAUGUAAUGUUCUUAUUUUGGAUUGAGAAAGUUGCACUGUUUUGUCUUUUUAUUAGACAUUUUGCUAUUUUAUCUACUAGUUGUGUAGAUACGGCAAUGCUCUGUGUAUGCAUAUUACUAAAUUUUAUUGUGGAAAGACGGGUGUCUUGGGGAUGUAUAAAAUAAAUGGUGCAAAAAAUCACAUUUUUAGAGAUUGAUGUCUAGCAAAACUGCAAAGACUGGACUAGCCUAAUGGUUAGGAUGUUAGCUUUGCUUACGGAUUAUUGUCAUAGUUUCAGAUAAAAAUAAUUCUUACUUAACAUAAUAAUACGUGGGAGAAUUUUAGUGAAGUCUUGGCAACCAAUUGAAGCAGAAGAAUUUGACCUCCCCAUCAUCUUUACUGUCCUGUUAUUUAGAACAUUCUUUUAAUUCUUCCUGGAAAUCAACUUUUUGUUGUUCCAGUUAGUAGGGGUCAUUGUUGCCAGCACGGAAUAAAGAGGUUUAAGUUGAUUAUUAUCUUCUUCAAGUUUAAAGCAAAAUGCGAAAAGGUAUAUUUGCACUUCUGAAUAAAAUUGCACUUGGCUGUUACAUUCUCCUUUGAAACUACAAUUUGGGUACCCUGAGUUUAUUAUUAGCCAUACGUUGUAUGUAUUUUGAAGUUUUAAAUGCUUGGCAUAGGUAUGCUCUAAUGAUUAACAACUCCUUUUGUUCUUUUUUCCAGGUGCAAGUACUGUUUCAGGUUUCUUUGCUUCAGCCUGCAGUCUU
RNAcentral lists this unclassified non-coding RNA (1447 nucleotides) under Hevea brasiliensis (rubber tree). Lineage: Eukaryota; Viridiplantae; Streptophyta; Magnoliopsida; Malpighiales; Euphorbiaceae. The record is from RNAcentral.